GGUCGCCUCAAUUAAUCAAGCCACAUAUGCCUGCUCUUGUACACCACACAAAAAUGUACCGACAUUGUAGCAACCAGGCUUCCUAACUGCAAGCAACCGAAAGCCACUGUGGCGGUUUUGAGCAGAAAGGAAAUUUAUCAAAAAGCUCUCAUUUAAUUUAUGGAAUCACAGGAAAUUCUCCUCUCCCUAAAAGGCAGGGUGAACCUUAUUAAAAUUAGUUGAGAAGCACACUUAGCACGGUGCUUUGCAGUAAGUGCUCAAUAAAUGUUCUAAUAAUCAUACAAGCACAUCUUACCAUGUGACACCUUUACCCGAAACCCUUUUAUAGCUCCAGUUGUCCACCAGAGCAAUCGUGGCCUCUGGGCUCUAAACUCCGUGGGUGGGGUGGGUAGAGGCUCUGAAUCUGAACAGCAUCCACGGGCCCACAGGGUUGGCUGCAGCCCAGCGCACUCCGCCCCUUUGGGCCCUAGGAACUUGAAACCGCUGCUCUGAUUGGCUGGCUCCCAGGACCUUGGUUGGGUCCUGUUCUCUGGUAGGCAGGAGGUGAAAGGUACCCUUCCUCCCUGUUCUUCUCUGUGUACCACCUGCCCAGUCACCUGAGCCCAGCUUGCUCUCUCUUUCCCUCUCUCCCUCCACCCAGGUCCGCCCUUGCUGGGGUUUCUUGGGGUG
RNAcentral lists this long non-coding RNA (669 nucleotides) under Marmota monax (woodchuck). The record is from RNAcentral. Lineage: Eukaryota; Metazoa; Chordata; Mammalia; Rodentia; Sciuridae.